UUCCCAGUGCUGGAAUAUAGAAAAUGGAUGGACAAGUAAGUCCCACUCAGCACCCAUAGCCCAGCUGAAUCUACCAUGAAAGACUUCAGAAUCCAGGAAGAGAGACUGACUGGGCAACAUCUUAUUCAGAAAAAGGACCUUGCUGUGUUGCUCAGGAUGGAGUUCAGUGGUCCUAUCAUGGCUCAUUGUAGCCUCAAACUCCCAGGCUCAAGCAAUCCUCCCACCUCAUCCCUCCCAGUAGCUGGGACUAUAGGAACUGACCUCACGAUGACUCAAGGUACCACUUAUUGUUGAUUGUGAUGAAAUGCCAGCUGAAGCAUAUGCCCUGCGAGCUUAGGGGUGCUACACUUGACCAUGGCGGCAAUAAAGAUGACUUUGAAGAAUGGCAUGGGAUGGAUCCUUUUGAAUGCACUCAAGCAGGGGUCUCCAACCACAGGGCCACAGAACCGGAGGUG
This 455-nucleotide long non-coding RNA is filed under the name Pongo abelii (Sumatran orangutan). RNAcentral describes it as "lincRNA". The record is from RNAcentral. Lineage: Eukaryota; Metazoa; Chordata; Mammalia; Primates; Hominidae.